Molecule: long non-coding RNA, 281 nt
Filed under: Coccomyxa subellipsoidea
Lineage: Eukaryota; Viridiplantae; Chlorophyta; Trebouxiophyceae; Coccomyxaceae
Description: long non-coding RNA (CSUB_LNC000299)
Source: RNAcentral
UCACACAAGUUGUGUGCCGCACUUCCUCCAGGGCCACGAGUCUGACACAACUCAAUUCCAAGUUGGGACUUAUACGCAUUAACGGUAGUACCACGGUAGUACAAAUCACCCACAACCAGCCUCACGAGGUACAAGUAUUUUUUCCCAUGUGUCUGUAAUCAGGGGGACAUCAUCUUCUCGUAUCGCUUCACUUCGGGAACCUGCAGUGCCGAGCUGGGCUUCUGCGGCAUAGCCAGUGUGAAGCGCUGCUCUGUGACCAGGCGAGUCAGCAGGCCCUUCCC